RNAcentral lists this ribosomal RNA (252 nucleotides) under uncultured bacterium. RNAcentral describes it as "partial 16S ribosomal RNA". It matches the Rfam family "Bacterial small subunit ribosomal RNA", at positions 524 to 776 of the family's 1533-position model. The record is from RNAcentral.
UACGGAGGGUGCAAGCGUUAUCCGGAUUCACUGGGUUUAAAGGGUGCGUAGGUGGGCAGGUAAGUCAGUGGUGAAAUCUCCGGGCUUAACCCGGAACUGCCGUUGAUACUAUUUGUCUUGAAUAUUGUGGAGGUAAGCGGAAUAUGUCAUGUAGCGGUGAAAUGCUUAGAUAUGACAUAGAACACCAAUUGCGAAGGCAGCUUACUACACAACGAUUGACGCUGAGGCACGAAAGCGUGGGGAGCAAACAGG